Rhinopithecus roxellana (golden snub-nosed monkey) is the source of this 369-nucleotide long non-coding RNA. RefSeq lists it as uncharacterized. The transcript is spliced from 3 exons. NCBI's taxonomy places the organism in Eukaryota, Metazoa, Chordata, Mammalia, Primates, Cercopithecidae. The record is from RefSeq and is a predicted model, not a curated record.
UUUUAGCUGAAGAGAAGGCAACUGGCAAGCUCUUUGCGGUGAAGUGUAUCCCUAAGAAGGCGCUGAAGGGCAAGGAAAGCAGCAUAGAGAAUGAGAUAGCUGUCCUGAGAAAGUGGUCUACAGAUAGCAGGAAGUCCCUCACCGAUGACUUUUCCAACCCUGAGAAGAUGCGAACGACCUGAAGAAAGAAAGAUUCCUGAGCGACAGGAGCUCUAUUUGUAGGAUGACCUCAAGUCCGCGUUCUGGAUUCCUCCUCCCCGACCAGACUGGCUCUGCCUGCUGCGUCCUGCUGAGACACCAGUUGCGCAGUGCCUAAAGCCAGGAACCUGGGCCUCCUUCCAGGUCACCCCCCCCGCCCCCCACCCUGAC